Molecule: long non-coding RNA, 316 nt
Filed under: Gallus gallus (chicken)
Lineage: Eukaryota; Metazoa; Chordata; Aves; Galliformes; Phasianidae
Source: RNAcentral
CUCCAGCAGCAAUACAAGCCGAGAAACGAGCAGUGUGCUGUCCGAAGGCGAGGGCCAUUCCAGGGAUUCCAAGCAGUUAACAAAGCACUGUGCUCCUAGAGUGAGCCAAGCAAAGGGGGAAAUAACACAUCGUCAAAAGGAUGCAAAAGACAUUUUUCCUCUUCCUUACUGACAAGUUGACUUGUACUGAAAUGCAAAGAUCAGUCAUCAUCUGAGCCUCUCUGUUCAGGGUGGACUUCACUCUUCCUCAGUUUAGAGGUUAAGCUCUCAGUACUUCUACCCUGUGUUGCCCUGAAUGUCUGAGUGAACUCUGAAA